RNAcentral lists this long non-coding RNA (464 nucleotides) under Mytilus galloprovincialis (Mediterranean mussel). The record is from RNAcentral. Lineage: Eukaryota; Metazoa; Mollusca; Bivalvia; Mytilida; Mytilidae.
CAUCGUUUUCCAAAGUGUUGCAAGCCUUUUAAAAAAUUAAUAAAGCCACAAAAUGUUGAUUCAGGAAGUGAUUUUCUAUCAAAUUAGUAAGAGUAGAUAAUUGUUCUAUUGUACUACAAACAGUUCCUAAGCUAGAGCAUUGUUAUCCUUUAUCCACCAAGCUAAUCUAUCAGUCAGUAUAUUACAGUAUUAUAAGUAAGACACUGAUGCAGGGGAGACCCUUUAUAACAAAGAGGAUCUCUCGCAUCUUACAUGUUAAAUUUAGGAACCUGAUUCAUAAUACAUCAAUAUUAUUUAUAGAACAUCAACAGGAUCCAUUAUAUACUAAACUAUACAACACUGUCUAAUUGAUAAAUGGAUUAUAUAACCCUGUUAACCAUCAGUGAUUUUGCAGAUCCAUUUAACCAAACAUUUUUAUGAAGCAGAAAUUUAUAUUUAGAAAUUUGUUUUCACUUGUGCUAAAA